RNAcentral lists this unclassified non-coding RNA (336 nucleotides) under plant metagenome. RNAcentral's name for it is "partial contains 5.8S ribosomal RNA, internal transcribed spacer 2, and large subunit ribosomal RNA". The stretch from base 1 to 104 matches the Rfam family "5.8S ribosomal RNA", at positions 50 to 154 of the family's 154-position model. The record is from RNAcentral.
GAAAUGCGAUAAGUAGUGUGAAUUGCAGAAUCAGUGAGUCAUCGAAUCUUUGAACGCACAUUGCGCCUCUCGGUAUUCCGGGAGGCACACCUGUUCGAGCGCCAUUACAAACUCCAAGCGUGGCUUGAUGUUGGGCGAUGUCUUUUUGCGAGAGCGGAGACACGCCUGGAACGCGUUGGCGCCGCCGCCGGACCACGAGCGUAGCAAGACGAGAGUCAAUCGCAUCGAUUUGGAUUCCGACGGAGGUCCGCCAUGGGACUGCACUUUCGAGUGUAAGUUCACAACUUCUCUCAAGUUUGGCCUCGGAUCAGGCGGGGAUACCCGCUGAACUUAAGC